This 751-nucleotide ribosomal RNA is filed under the name uncultured bacterium. Its description in RNAcentral is "bacterial SSU rRNA". It matches the Rfam family "Bacterial small subunit ribosomal RNA", at positions 70 to 793 of the family's 1533-position model. The record is from RNAcentral.
GGGAAAGAGCUUGCUCUUUCCGGAAUUGAGUGGCAAACGGGUGAGUAACACGUAAACAACCUGCCUUCAGGAUGGGGACAACAGACGGAAACGACUGCUAAUACCGAAUAAGUUCCAAGAGCCGCAUGGCCCAUGGAAGAAAAGGUGGCCUCUACCUGUAAGCUAUCGCCUGAAGAGGGGUUUGCGUCUGAUUAGCUGGUUGGAGGGGUAACGGCCCACCAAGGCGACGAUCAGUAGCCGGUCUGAGAGGAUGAACGGCCACACUGGAACUGAGACACGGUCCAGACUCCUACGGGAGGCAGCAGUGGGGAAUCUUCCGCAAUGGGCGAAAGCCUGACGGAGCAACGCCGCGUGAGUGAUGACGGCCUUCGGGUUGUAAAACUCUGUGAUCCGGGACGAAAAGGCAGAGUGCGAAGAACAAACUGCAUUGACGGUACCGGAAAAGCAAGCCACGGCUAACUACGUGCCAGCAGCCGCGGUAAUACGUAGGUGGCAAGCGUUGUCCGGAAUUAUUGGGCGUAAAGCGCGCGCAGGCGGCUUCCCAAGUCCCUCUUAAAAGUGCGGGGCUUAACCCCGUGAUGGGAAGGAAACUGGGAAGCUGGAGUAUCGGAGAGGAAAGUGGAAUUCCUAGUGUAGCGGUGAAAUGCGUAGAGAUUAGGAAGAACACCGGUGGCGAAGGCGACUUUCUGGACGAAAACUGACGCUGAGGCGCGAAAGCGUGGGGAGCAAACAGGAUUAGAUACCCUGGUAG